This 494-nucleotide ribosomal RNA is filed under the name uncultured bacterium. RNAcentral describes it as "partial 16S ribosomal RNA". It matches the Rfam family "Bacterial small subunit ribosomal RNA", at positions 28 to 507 of the family's 1533-position model. The record is from RNAcentral.
GACGAACGCUGGCGGCGUGCUUAACACAUGCAAGUCGAACGGAAAGGCCUGCUUUCCCUUGUGGAUUGCGGGUACUCGAGUGGCGAACGGGUGAGUAACACGUGAGUGAUCUGCCCCCAACUUGGGUAUAAGCCUGGGAAACUGGGUCUAAUUCCCGAUAGGACUGCAGGGUGGUGCCUGUGGUGGAAAACGAUUUUCUAGUGGUUGGGGAUGAGCUCGCGGCCUAUCAGCUUGUUGGUGGGGUAAUGGCCUACCAAGGCGGCGACGGGUAGCCGGCCUGAGAGGGUGGACGGCCACAUUGGGACUGAGAUACCGCCCAGGCGCCUACGGGAGGCAGCCGGGGGGAAUAUUGCACAAUGGGCGGAAGCCUGAUGCAGCGACGCCGCGUGGGGGAUGACGGCCUUCGGGUGGUAAACUCCUUUCGACCGCGAGGAAGCCACCUGGUUGGAAGGGUGGUGACGGUAGUGGUAGAAGAAGCACCGGCUAACUACGUG